Molecule: ribosomal RNA, 276 nt
Filed under: uncultured bacterium
Lineage: Bacteria
Description: partial 16S ribosomal RNA
Rfam family: Bacterial small subunit ribosomal RNA
Source: RNAcentral
AACGAACGCUGGCGGCAGGCUUAACACAUGCAAGUCAAGGGGCUCUUCGGAGCGCCGGCGCACGGGUGCGUAACGCGUGGGAAUAUACCCCUAGGUAAGGAAUAACGUAGAGAAAUUUGCGCUAAUACCUUAUAAUAACUUCGGUUCAAAGAUUUAUCGCCAAGGGAUUAGCCCGCGUUAGAUUAGAUAGUUGGUGAGGUAACGGCUCACCAAGUCGACGAUCUAUAGGGGGUCUGAGAGGAUGAUCCCCCACACUGGUACUGAGACACGGACCAG